RNAcentral lists this ribosomal RNA (401 nucleotides) under Pseudomonas sp. LS73. Its description in RNAcentral is "bacterial SSU rRNA". It matches the Rfam family "Bacterial small subunit ribosomal RNA", at positions 63 to 466 of the family's 1533-position model. The record is from RNAcentral. Lineage: Bacteria; Pseudomonadati; Pseudomonadota; Gammaproteobacteria; Pseudomonadales; Pseudomonadaceae.
CGAGCGGUAGAGAGAAGCUUGCUUCUCUUGAGAGCGGCGGACGGGUGAGUAAUGCCUAGGAAUCUGCCUGGUAGUGGGGGAUAACGCUCGGAAACGGACGCUAAUACCGCAUACGUCCUACGGGAGAAAGCAGGGGACCUUCGGGCCUUGCGCUAUCAGAUGAGCCUAGGUCGGAUUAGCUAGUUGGUGAGGUAAUGGCUCACCAAGGCGACGAUCCGUAACUGGUCUGAGAGGAUGAUCAGUCACACUGGAACUGAGACACGGUCCAGACUCCUACGGGAGGCAGCAGUGGGGAAUAUUGGACAAUGGGCGAAAGCCUGAUCCAGCCAUGCCGCGUGUGUGAAGAAGGUCUUCGGAUUGUAAAGCACUUUAAUUUGGGAGGAAGGGCAUUUACCUAAUAC